This is a long non-coding RNA of Zalophus californianus (California sea lion), 1303 nucleotides long. RefSeq lists it as uncharacterized. NCBI's taxonomy places the organism in Eukaryota, Metazoa, Chordata, Mammalia, Carnivora, Otariidae. The record is from RefSeq and is a predicted model, not a curated record. The transcript is spliced from 4 exons.
GGUGAGACGUGACAAUUGGAUCUGACCUUUGGAAACUUUCCCUGAAUCCCCAGAUGACACCACUUUAGAUAACUACCUUGUGACCUCACCACCAUGCCCCUCAUUUCAUAAAAGCUGUGAUUAAGGUCCGGAUAGUUUCAGAGAAGAGCUGAAGAGAAUAUCCACAGAGAAUAGCUGCGGAGAAUAGCUGUGUAGUGCUCUGGAUCGUCUAUCUACCCACUUACCUGCCCAGUUGCCCCUGUCACUCCAGACAUAGCCUCCAAAAAACUAUUUGUCUACUGGAUAACAAGUUCCCCAGAAUAGAAGCUUGGACACAGGCAAAGCAUUCUGUCGUGUUCACUCACCUUGAUCUGAAUACUACAUUGGGGCCACCACCGUCGGUGAAGCUUACCUACAUAUGAGGCAAGCUUGUGAUGGAAGGGAACAAAGGAGGGAAGGCAUUUCCCAGAACUGGAUUUGGUAUAAUUUUGAUGUUUAAGUGCUCCCUUCUCUCAGAAUCUGUAAUGAUUACCCUGAAUUUUAGUAGCAACAUUGAGAAAAAUAUACACUUUUUAUAAUGAAGUUUAUCUAAAGAGAUGGACAGAACUCUGAAUUUUGAGGUAAUUCCCAAGAUUCCUACCCACUAGGGUACAUACUUUAUAUUAAAGAAUGGGUAGGACUGUGAAUAUGAUGGAUUUCACAGCUGUGAUUAGAUUAUAAAGGUGAAGGAAUUUAAAGAUGUAAUUAAAAUCUGAAAUGAGUUGACUUAGUUAAUAAAAAGGGAGAUUAUCCUGGGUGGGCCUGAUCUGAUUCUGUGAGCUCUUAAAAGGGACUGGGUCCUUCCUGAAGAAAAAUUUGAAGCAGCAGCCACAAUUUUCUGUUAGCCUUUAAAAAACAAACUGUAAAGCUAUGGAGAAAGCCUGUGGCAAGGAACAGCAGGCAGUCCUACAACCCCAAGGAACUGAAUUCUACAGUGAGCUGAGUACCUGAAACUAAGAUAAGAUAGUGCCUCUGGCUGACACCUUGAUUUUAGCCCAGUCAAACCCUAAGAUAAGGAACCAGUUAACUUGUGCCUUGACUCCUGACUCAUGGAAACUGAGAUCAUAAAUUAUGGGGGAUUUUUCUAAGCCACAAAAUUAUAAUAAUUUGUUAUAGAGGAAUAGAAAACUAACACCAGAAGUAAAACACAUCAUACUGCAUUACUAUUUCAUGAAAGUUAAUAAAGUCAAGUUUCCCUCAUGUGACAUUAUAUACCUUAUAAAUAAAUUGUUAUCAAGAAUAUUUUCUGUACUCUGAAAUAUUUCACUUAAAAAAUAAAGUGACU